Molecule: long non-coding RNA, 1283 nt
Organism: Lolium perenne
Lineage: Eukaryota; Viridiplantae; Streptophyta; Magnoliopsida; Poales; Poaceae
Source: RefSeq, a predicted model, not a curated record
GUAUGGGUUUCCAGUAUUUAACUAUUUUUGGUUGAAACUUGGCUUCGUGCUUCCUAAAUUUAUCAUAUAUAAUGAAUAUAUUUAAUUAGUGCCCCAUAUGUUGUGUGAAUUCUUGUUUUUUCAUUCAUGCUUCUUAUGUGCUACCAUCCUAAUUUCAUAAUGCUUCGUCGUUACUCUUUAGAGGUCUGGCUGAACACCAUGCAUUCAAAGUGCUUGGAACACUAUAUAUGACAGCUUUAUUAGUAUUCUUGCCAUGCUUCCAGCUUAACAAAUACAUGUUCCAAGCUGCAUACAUGCUUCGUACCUGCGUCGUACAAACUGCAUACAUGCUUCACGCCCAUUUUUGUCAAUGUAACUUCCUGCAGGUUGUUGAAUGCAUGGUGUUUCCUCGGAGAUCUGAACAGUAGCAUCGAAGCAUUAACAAAUUAAAUACCCAGAUGUUCGAAGCUGCAUACAUGCUCUGUGCCUGUGUCGUACAUACUGCAUACAUGCUUCGUGCCCAUCUUUAUCAAUGCAAGCUAAUGUGGUGCCAUUUGAUCUAUAUUUAUGUCCUAUAAAUGAAUAAAUACCUGAAAUCAAAGACCUCACCAUUCUGCUCAUCCUCCGGGUGCAUGGGGUUGGCGGAAGCAUGUUUCAUAUGAUCAUAUCUUUGGAAGCAAGCCUUAAUUUCUUGGGAAGUGUCUAUGUCUCCAUAGUAGCCUGCGUCGGGACCUAGAAGAAGCACCCUCGCACAUGGAUUUCUGUAGGAGAACGCAAAGGUGGAUCGCUUGGUUUUCUAGGAAAGCAUGAUUAUGGACGUCCUCAACAUUGAGAUCCAAAAGGUUACUGAUUUCGUAGAAGCACGCACUUUACAAGGGCGACGAGCUGGUGACUCCACGCUCCAUCGAUGGUGUCCGAUGAUUUGCUGCUGAUCUUAGGUAUGGGCCUGGUGAUGGUUGCCGACACCGUGAAUUGGUGUACCCAUUCUGAUGAAGUCCAAAUCUUCAGAACAACGAGUAAUGGGUGGUCGCACGACGGCGGUCUCAUUUGCCGACAACGUGCUCAUGUCUUCGCCAGAUAGUUGAUUCUUUGUCCUUGCAACAUACAGUGGAUAUGAAGCUUUGGUUUGUAAUAGGAAGCACUUAGUUCGUGAUCCAUUACCAUUUGAAACAUAGUUUACAGGAGGAAAUCUGGCAUUCAAUGGUAGCAAACUUUCAUUUCCUUGGAAGCACAUCCAUAAUUCAUUUGAAGCACUUGUAAUACUCUUUUAUGUGGGAGCAUAUUUCUAUUUUCAUUAGAAUCCA